AUUCCUGAGCCAUGCACGUGCCAAGUUCAUACGAGUUAAUCGUGAGACUGCGGACGGCUCAGUAUAUCAGUGAUUAUCUGUUUGAUUGUCUUACCCAUUGGAUAACCGUGGGAAAUCUAGAGCUAAUACAUGCAAGUUUCUUGGUGUUGUCGCAAGGCAGCAUCAAAGCAUUUAUUAGACUUAACCAUCUACUAUGUAGCAAUACAUGGUAAGGCGAAUCUAGAUAACUUUGCUGAUCGUAUGGUCUUGUACCGACGACGUUUCAAUUGAGUUUCUGCCCUAUCAAUUUGUUGGUAAGGUAUUGGCUUACCAAGGUUGCAACGGGUAACGGGGAAUCAGGGUUCGAUUCCGGAGAGGGAGCCUGAGAAACGGCUACCACAUCCAAGGAAGGCAGCAGGCGCGCAAAUUACCCAAUCUAGACAGUAGGAGGUGGUGAAGAGAAGUACUGAGUGGUGGGCAAAUGCUUACCAACUUGGAAUGAACGUAAUUUAAGCAAUUCGAUGAGUAACUACUGGAGGGCAAGUCCUGGUGCCAGCAGCCGCGGUAAUUCCAGCUCCAGUGGCGUGAUUUAAAGUUGCUGCGUUUAAAACGCUCGUAGUUGGAUCACGCAGUAGUAAUUAGUUGUUUGAACGCAGGUAAUGUGGACGAUUUUCCAAGCGAUUAUUGAAUACUUGCCGGUUCAAAUGUUUAUGCUGAUUGCUACUAUUUGCACACAAGUAUGGCAUUUGGCCUUAAGUGAGUCGAGUGUCAUGUCUUGUGGAGAGACCCUUGAAAAAAACAGGAGGGCUAAAAGCACGCGGUACGCUUGAAUGUUAUAGCAUGGAACGAACAAAAGGGUAUUUGCGUAUAACUUUCUAAUUGUUGAGGGCAACUUUGACUUUUGGAGUAUACGCAGCACCCGCCAACAUUACAAAUGUUGGUUUUUGUAUUAGGUGAUGAUUAACAGGAGCGGUUGGGGGCAUUGGUAAUUUGGCCGCAAAGAGGUGAAAUUCUUAAACCGGCCAAGGACUAACAGAAUGCAAAGGCGUUUGUCUAAACCGUUUCCAUUAAUCAUAGAACGAAAGUGAAAGGUUCGAAGAACGAUCAGAGUACCUGUCCUAGUUCUCACUAUAAACUAAUGCCGAUCUGGCAUCAGUUUAAGUGAUUUACAAGCUCUAGAGUUGGUCCCCCUGGGUAAAACUCAAGCUUACUCGGUUACGGGAAGAGUACUGGUCGCAAAUCUGAAACUCUAAAGGGAACUUGACCGGAAGGGCACCAUCCAGGGGUGGAGCCUGCGGCUUAAUUUGACUCAACACGGGGAAACUUACCUGGUCCGGACAUCGAAAGGAUAAACAGACUAAUAGAUCUUAUUUGAUGCGGUGAGUGGUGGUGCAUGGCCGUUCUUAGUUCGUGGAGUGAUCUGUCAGGUUUAUUCCGGUAACGAACGAGACCACCUUCUCCAUUUAAGAAGCAGUAGUAGAAGGUCGGGGUCACGUUAUUCACGUAACUUGGCUUUGAUUUUCGCAGGUAGGAUUAUUGAAUUUUACAGAUGUUGUGUCUGAGGGCAACUGAGGAUGCAAUGUCUGUAAAAGGAUGUGAUUUUCCCUACUGUUAUGCAGUGUUGGGCAAAACCUACGCGCUGCCUUAUGGAGAGACAACAGGUAUAUAAAAGCCUGAGGAAGUGUGGCUAUAACAGGUCAGUGAUGCCCUUCGAUGUUCAGGGCUGCACGCGCGCUACAAUGAUAACAACAACAAGUAUCUGGGUCGAAAGACUUGGGUAAUCUAUAAUUGUUAUCGUGAUGGGGAUUGACGAUUGUAAAUUCGUCAUGAAAUAGGAAUCCCUAGUAUGUGCAAUUUAUUAAAUUGCGCAGAUUAAGUCCCUGCCCUUUGUACACACCGCCCGUCGCUACUACCGAGUGAAUUAUGUCAUGAUGCUCUGGGACCUUUCAUUGUACGGGUGUCAAAGCCUGUUCGAUGCUAGAAUAAA
This 1966-nucleotide ribosomal RNA is filed under the name Myxobolus sp. RNAcentral's name for it is "SSU rRNA". It matches the Rfam family "Eukaryotic small subunit ribosomal RNA". The record is from RNAcentral. Lineage: Eukaryota; Metazoa; Cnidaria; Myxozoa; Bivalvulida; Myxobolidae.